This 440-nucleotide ribosomal RNA is filed under the name uncultured bacterium. RNAcentral's name for it is "partial 16S ribosomal RNA". It matches the Rfam family "Bacterial small subunit ribosomal RNA", at positions 338 to 795 of the family's 1533-position model. The record is from RNAcentral.
CCUACGGGUGGCAGCAGUGGGGAAUAUUGCACAAUGGGGGGAACCCUGAUGCAGCGACGCCGCGUGGGUGAAGGAGUACUUCGGUACGUAAAGCCCUAUCAGCAGGAAAGAAAAUGACGGUACCUGACUAAGAAGCCCCGGCUAACUACGUGCCAGCAGCCGCGGUAAUACGUAGGGGGCAAGCAUUAUCCGGAUUUACUGGGUGUAAAGGGAGCGUAGACGGCAGUGCAAGUCCGGAGUGAAAGCCCGGGGCUCAACCCUGGGACUGCUCUGGAAACUGUAAAGCUGGAGUGCGGGAGGGGCAGGCGGAAUUCCUGGUGUAGCGGUGAAAUGCGUAGAUAUCAGGAGGAACACCGGCGGCGAAGGCGGGUUCCUGGACAUUAACUGACGCUGAGGCACGAAGGCCAGGGGAGCGAAAGGGAUUAGAUACCCGAGUAGUC